UGUGUAGACGGUAUGUUAAGUUUGUUGUUAAAUCUUCCGGCCUAACCGGAAAACUGCAAUAAAAACUGGCAAACUAGAGGAUGAGAGAGAGGAGUGGAAUUCCCGGAGUAGCGGUAAAAUGCGUAGAUCUCGGGAGGAACACCAAUGGCGAAGGCAGCUCCUUGGCUCAUUUCUGACGUUGAGACACGAAAGCGUGGGUAGCAAACAGGAUUAGAUACCCUGGUAGUCC
Molecule: ribosomal RNA, 229 nt
Filed under: uncultured bacterium
Lineage: Bacteria
Description: partial 16S ribosomal RNA
Rfam family: Bacterial small subunit ribosomal RNA
Source: RNAcentral